AUUGAACGCUGGCGGCAGGCCUAACACAUGCAAGUCGAGCGGAUGAAGGGAGCUUGCUCCUGGAUUCAGCGGCGGACGGGUGAGUAAUGCCUAGGAAUCUGCCUGGUAGUGGGGAUAACGUCCGGAAACGGGCGCUAAUACCGCAUACGUCCUGAGGGAGCAAGUGGGGGAUCUUCGGACCUCACGCUAUCAGAUGAGCCUAGGUCGGAUUAGCUAGUUGGUGGGGUAAAGGCCUACCAAGGCGACGAUCCGUAACUGGUCUGAGAGGAUGAUCAGUCACACUGGAACUGAGACACGGUCCAGACUCCUACGGGAGGCAGCAGUGGGGAAUAUUGGACAAUGGGCGAAAGCCUGAUCCAGCCAUGCCGCGUGUGUGAAGAAGGUCUUCGGAUUGUAAAGCACUUUAAGUUGGGAGGAAGGGCAGUAAGUUAAUACCUUGCUGUUUUGACGUUACCAACAGAAUAAGCACCGGCUAACUUCGUG
RNAcentral lists this ribosomal RNA (483 nucleotides) under uncultured bacterium. RNAcentral's name for it is "partial 16S ribosomal RNA". It matches the Rfam family "Bacterial small subunit ribosomal RNA", at positions 30 to 507 of the family's 1533-position model. The record is from RNAcentral.